CCGUAGCCAUUUUGAGCCAAA
RNAcentral lists this small RNA (21 nucleotides) under Karenia brevis. RNAcentral describes it as "trans-spliced leader sequence SL". Lineage: Eukaryota; Dinophyceae; Gymnodiniales; Kareniaceae. The record is from RNAcentral.